CAGCCGCCGCGGUAAUACGAAGGGGGCUAGCGUUGUUCGGAUUUACUGGGCGUAAAGCGCACGUAGGCGGAUCCUUAAGUCAGAGGUGAAAUCCCAAGGCUCAACCUUGGAACUGCCUUUGAUACUGGGGAUCUCGAGUUCGGGAGAGGUGAGUGGAACUGCGAGUGUAGAGGUGAAAUUCGUAGAUAUUCGCAAGAACACCAGUGGCGAAGGCGGCUCACUGGCCCGAUACUGACGCUGAGGUGCGAAAGCGUGGGGAGCAAACAGGAUUAGAUACCCGCGUAGUCCCUGUCUCUUAUAC
Molecule: ribosomal RNA, 301 nt
Filed under: uncultured bacterium
Lineage: Bacteria
Description: partial 16S ribosomal RNA
Rfam family: Bacterial small subunit ribosomal RNA
Source: RNAcentral